This is a non-coding RNA of Oncorhynchus mykiss (rainbow trout), 5206 nucleotides long. NCBI's taxonomy places the organism in Eukaryota, Metazoa, Chordata, Actinopteri, Salmoniformes, Salmonidae. The record is from RefSeq and is a predicted model, not a curated record.
ACAUUGUACACCUUUAAAAAAAAAAAUGGUGAAAUCAAAUCAAAGACCAUAAAUGAAACGUCAUCCACAAGAUUUUUUUCGCAACGGUGUCGGGGAUCACAAUCACUGUCAUUUACUCACGUAUGGUGGUCAAUGGAGGAAAAACUCACUUGGGCCCUUUGCAAGCAGAAUGAGUGUCACUUCCGAAUGCCAGCCGGAGAGAGUGAAGCCUUGAUGAGGUUUUUAAGAUAUACACUGACCUGGCUACAUUCAGAGAAGAAGAGUCCCGCUCAGCCAGAGCAGGAGAGUUUUGUGGCAAGUUGGAACAGCUCCAGACUUUGAAACAUAACCUUGACCUUGUGAAAGACACAGAGGACAAUGAGACUAUCCUCCAGAACACUUAUGACCCUGACCAGGGCAGCCCUUGUUUCACCAAGAACAAGCUCAGGGAGAGGGAGUUAGCAGAGAAGGUCAACAACAACAACGGGAACCAGGACUAGGAGAAGGAGCAGCCAACCAAAGGAAAGAGGAAGAGUGGAGGGAGCUGCCUCCAGCCUCAGUGCAGCAGGAGGACACUUAUAACACUUAGAUCGACCAGACUGACAAUAAUGCAGGAAAUGCCAAAACAGCCAAAUCCAAGGCCUCCUUGGAGUCAGAAGGUCCUGGGAAUAUACAUAGGAGAAAGAAUAACAAAGGGAAGAGGAGAGGAGGAGGUGUCUGGGGCCCAGAGUGGGCAAGGAUGAGUUACUCCAUGAGUACCGGUAGCAGAUGGCACAGGAAGUGGAGAGGGCCACCGUGAAGAAGACUGUACACAAGAAGUCAACAACGGACAAGACCAACGCUGCUCCUCAGGAAGCAGUAACAUUAAACAAUGAAGGUGCAAAGAAGAAAUAGAACAAGCUGAGGUCGUCAUUGGAUUCUGCGAGGGAGACGAGGUGUGUAGAAGUCUUGCAGGAUGAACUUUCAGAACUCCAGUGAGGUUUGCAUGAACCUGUAAGGAAGCAUAUGGUAGAAGAUCUGCAGAAUUGCCAGUCCGAGGACAUCACUGAGAGGAUGAGAUCCAAGGAGAAGAGUCAAGAGAGCCACGCCGAGGAGGAUGGAGUAGAAUCUUUAAAAUCCAAAGGCAAAAAAAAUAAGAGAAUAAAACAAGGUUGUGGGUACUAACUGAGUGCGGCGUAUCGACAGUAAACUGCAUCCACAGCUGUUCUGUCCUCCUCCUCGGAGCAAGAGACGAGACAAGACCAUGGAGGUGGUAGACUGCUGGAGGAGAUACCCCCCGUAACAGAUACACAUCCCCCCUUUACAUCACUGCAAAAGGCCUUAAACUACCCGAUCAUGUACUAGUAGUAGUAGUAGUAGUAGUAGUAGUAGUAGUAGUAGUAGUAGUAGUAGUAGUAGUAGUAGUAGUAGUAGUAGUAGUAGUAGUAGUAGUAGUAGUAGUAGUAGUAGUAGUAGUAGUAGAAGAAGUAGAAGUAGAAGUAGAAGAAGAAGAAAUCCAAUCUUUAUCAAUCGGCAGGUCCUUUUCUGUAUGCCAAGGAGUGAGCUGUGGUUUGGUCCGAGCUGCAGAGUGAGAUCACCAGGAGAAACGACACACAACCUGUGCUCCUUCGCUGGAGGGGAAUCUCUGUUGUAAGCAUCAUGUUCUAUCAUCAUGUUCUAUCAUCAUGUUCUACCAUCAUGUUCUACCAUCAUGUUCUACCAUGUUCUAUCACUGUUCUUUGUUUUAGUAUCUAACAGUAUCCAACUGCUUCCCAGCUCAAGUGUUGUCCAAUAGUUCUCCUCAAGUCGUGAUGAUACGUUGAGAAACACAACUUUGAGACAACAUUGACACCAUUUUCUGUGGUGGUUGUGUGUUUGCCAGAAAAUGCCAUUAAAUUGUCUUCAGUUGUGUUAUUUGAUGAAGUUGUAUAUGUGUUGUAUAUGUGUUGUAGGUGUGCCGGAUCCCCAAUAAGCCCAUGCUGUCGUUCCGUGGUGGUCAGAUGGGUUGUUUUACCGUGUGCUUCUCCCACAACGGCAGGAGGCCGGCUGCUGCAUGUGCUGACAGAGAAGCUUUUAACCACUCAUCAGAUCUCUCUCUAACCCUCACCCUACUCUACUGCCUUCUGUAUUUAGAUAGACGUGCCAAUCUACUUUACUUUACUUCUUGUUAUUCUUGUUAUUCUUGUGAUCCAAAGCCGAAUUGACCACCUGCAAAAACCUGCCCUCCUUAGUUACUUCUGCGAUAUCCGUCAAGUGUUUUGCUGCAAAGUGCAUUUUCCCAUUGAAGGGCUGAUGAUGAGAUUUCUGUGUAUUAGCGGUAUUAUUGAAGUAGCAUCUAAUAGUUUUUUUGUUUUUUGAUUCCUUCAGAAAAGGUGUUGGCUGCCUUCAAUGGCUACCAGAUCUCUGCUGGUCCAGAGACGACCGGAGUCUGCUGUCUACCUCCUGACGGCACCUUAAAAACACCCUGCCUGGGAAAGAGAGAUGGACCUGAACUCGAUCCUGCCUUCUCCGUCCCUCCUGCCACCACAUUACAAACUGCAGCUGGUUGGUUCCCUUGGAGCUCAGUUCAUCCCCCAGUCAACCUCCCAGAACCCUAGUUUCACCGCAGUGGGCGAGCGUCUAGGAAGAGCUUCAUCUCGCAGGCUACAGAACAAGUUAUCUGAUCAUCUGUCUACAGCCAAUAGAGUAGAAGCAGAUUCUUUGGUACCAGUUCAUCAAACGGUUUUCUCUUUGUAUGACUACAGUGCCCACCCGUCAGAUGAGUUAACUGUACCGUGUGGUGACUCCAUCCGUGUGCUCUACAAAGGCAACAGGUGGUUUGGACAUCAUGGAUACCUCCCAGCUACCUAUGUUGUGGAAGAGCGCAAGUAGAGUGAUAUAUCUGUUCUACAUUAAAAAAGUAUGUGCACUCAGCAGACACUUUUUUAUCUCACAAUCCCAGGGGAUUACAACGAGGAGCUGUCUCGUGCCCUAGAGGCCCAGUCUGCCCUGUCUGAAUGGACUGACCUAUCAGUCCCUCUGUCUGAACGGACUGACCAAUCAGAUGAGAGGUUGACGCCUACCAAGGUGUCUGUUUCCGUUGUCUCUGGAGAACUCAAGUUAAUUUCUGAGCUGGACACAGACCCUGAGCAGCCUGCUGCCACCAGAGUGAAGGAGAAAACAAAGAAGAAGUUCAAAGCUCCGUCAUCCCCACCACCAGCCACAUCCUCUGACCCUGAUGUCCCAGAAUCAUCAUCUACCAAGAGAAAAACCAAGGCUGCAGACAGCAAACCACUGACCCCCAGUCCCAGGAGAGGACAGUCCAAUAGUGCCUUCGAGCCUGAUACCUAGACCCAUGGAUCUAUGGUUAAGAGUACACUAAGAGUAAAGAGUUUAACGCUAAAUUCCUCGUUGAACAGAAGAUAACAAGUAUGUUUAUAAGGAAACUAUCCUGUAAAAGCUUAAACGUAUUGCUUUUUUCACUAAUAUGUUUUAAAUGUCUGUAUACAGUGCCCUCGGAAAAGUAUUCAGACCCGUUGACUUUUUGCCCAUUUUGUUACUUUACAGCCUUAUUCUAAAAUGUAUUAAAUCGUUUAUUUCCCCUCGUGAAUCUACACGCGAUACCCCAUAAUGACAAAGCAAAAACAGGUUUUUAAAAAUGAUCAACUGAAAUAUAACAUUUACAUAAGUAUUUUACUCAGUACUUUGUUGAAGCACCUUUGGCAGUGAUUACAUCCUCCAGUCUUCUUGGGUGUGAUGCUACAAGCUUGCCACACACCUGUAUUUGUGGAAUGUCCUUGAGUGGCCCAGCCAGAGCUUGGACUUGAACCAGAUCGAACAACUCGGGAGAGACCUGAAAACAGCUGUGCAGCGAUGCUCCCCAUCCAACCCGACAGAGCUUGACAGGAUCUGCAGAGAAUGGGAGAAAUUCCCCAAAUACAUGUGUUGUUCCAAGCUUGUAGCAUCAAACACAAGAAGACUCUAGACUCUAGGGUGUAAUCGUUGUCAAAGGUUCUUCAACAAAGUACUGAGUAAAGGGUCUGAAUACUUAUGUAAAUGUUAUUUCAGUUUUGUAUUUUUAAUACAUUUGCAAAAAUGUAUACAAUUCUGUUUCAUUAUGGGGUAUUGAUGAGGGGAAAAAAAACAACAAUUGAAUCAAUUUUAGAGUAAAGCUGUAACAUAAAAUGUGGAAGGGGUCCGAAUGCACUGUAGAUGGCAUUAUUUCAUCCAUGUACUCUAUAGUCUGUCCACAAUUCUAAUUCAAAAGGUACACCAUAUUUAAAUGGAAGGCUUAAGAUAAAAUGUACUGAAAACCCUUUUGAAUGUAAAUUCCACCAAAAAUCUGUUGGCCAGCAAGUGGGAACUUUUUCAGCAGUUGAAUUACAUUUAUUCAGCACACUCAAGGGAACCACUCCUGCAAAGCCUUUUACCAUCUUCAUGAAGUAAGCCUGAAUAUCAACUACUGAGAAGUGGAUUUGAAGGGCGUAAUAUCGGAAAUCGGGCCCUUUAUGAAUGAUUACAUUUGUGCAUUACAAAUAAAAAAAAUAUUGAAUUCAAAAUUAUAGAAUACAAAAUUAUCAAAUACAAUUUGUUGGCACUGAAAUCACUCCAUACAUGGAGUUCUGACCUCACUGUUUAGACAUCAUCCAUGUCGCAGAGAUUGGCGAAUGAGAGGCAUUUACAUAGUACUGCAUUUCAAUAUCGGUACAUAUUUACAUACCAGAUACUGUGUGUAUAUACACCCUUUGAGUUGUCAAGUAAAAAAUUAUUUUGUGAAACAUUCUCUUCCAAAAGCAAUGAUAUUUGGAAAUAGUUGGCAUGUAACUACAACUGAGAAGUAACUCAGACUGUAAAAGGACUAGGCUUACAUUAGUUACAUAUAUUCAAAUAUUAGUGUCCUUGAAUGAACUGCAUUUUAUAUCACUUAAUAAAUGGACAUAAAAUACUUGCUUGAUUGGUCCAUUUGAAAAUAUAUAUUAUUUUAUUUUAUUGCCGUCACUGAUAUGGUCAUUGGUCAAUCUACAUAGCCAUAAAGGAGGUUAACUAUUCAGACAUAACCCAUGUCAGGUGCUGUGAAGAUUGGAGAAUGAGGGGCAUUUACAUAGUACUGGAUUUCAAUGGGUGCAUAUUUAACAUGGCCAACUGAUAUGUAUAAAUGCCAUUUGAUUAUCGUCAAGUAAACAUUAUUUUGUGAAACAUUCCUGUUCCGAAGUACAUGGUGUGUUAAAAUGACUUUUAACAAACUAAUUAAAAUAGUUCCAAAGCUUUA